RNAcentral lists this ribosomal RNA (400 nucleotides) under uncultured archaeon. RNAcentral's name for it is "bacterial SSU rRNA". It matches the Rfam family "Archaeal small subunit ribosomal RNA", at positions 1 to 377 of the family's 1478-position model. The record is from RNAcentral.
UCUUGGUUGAUCCUGCCGGACCCUACUGCUAUCGGGUGUGGGACUAAGACAUGCGAGUCGAGCGUCUCUAGCUAUGUUGAGACGCGGCAGACGGCUCAGUAACACGUGGCUAACCUACCCUCAGGACAGGGACAAACCCGGGAAACUGGGGCUAAUACCAGAUAGGCGAGGAUGCCUGGAAUGGUUUUUCGCUCAAAGGACCUUGGAAACAUGCUUUCAAGUCGCCUGAGGAUGGGGCCGCGUCCGAUCAGGUUGUUGGUGAGGUAACGGCUCACCAAGCCUAUAACCGGUACGGGCCGUGAGAGCGGUAGCCCGGAGAUGGGUACUGAGACAAGGACCCAGGCCCUACGGGGCGCAGCAGUCGCGAAAACUCCGCAAUGCACGAAAGUGUGACGGGGCU